GCUGGCUGCAUGCUUAACACAUGCAAGUCGAACGGCAGCACGGGAGCUUGCUCCUGGUGGCGAGUGGCGGACGGGUGAGUAAUGCAUAGGAAUCUGCCCAGUAGUGGGGAACAACCUGGUGAAAACCAGGCUAAUACCGCAUACGACCUACGGGUGAAAGAGGGGGCUCUUCGGACCUCUUGCUAUUGGAUGAGCCUAUGUCUGAUUAGCUAGUUGGUGGGGUAAAGGCCUACCAAGGCGACGAUCAGUAGCUGGUCUGAGAGGAUGAUCAGCCACACUGGGACUGAGACACGGCCCAGACUCCUACGGGAGGCAGCAGUGGGGAAUAUUGGACAAUGGGGGCAACCCUGAUCCAGCAAUGCAGCGUGUGUGAAGAAGGCCUGCGGGUUGUAAAGCACUUUCAAUAGGGAGGAAAAGCUG
This 420-nucleotide ribosomal RNA is filed under the name uncultured Gammaproteobacteria bacterium. RNAcentral describes it as "bacterial SSU rRNA". It matches the Rfam family "Bacterial small subunit ribosomal RNA", at positions 35 to 455 of the family's 1533-position model. The record is from RNAcentral. Lineage: Bacteria; Pseudomonadati; Pseudomonadota; Gammaproteobacteria.